Triticum aestivum (bread wheat) is the source of this 3159-nucleotide long non-coding RNA. RefSeq lists it as uncharacterized. The transcript is spliced from 7 exons. The record is from RefSeq and is a predicted model, not a curated record. Lineage: Eukaryota; Viridiplantae; Streptophyta; Magnoliopsida; Poales; Poaceae.
UCUGCUUCAUCUCUCAAACGACGCCCCAGCCCCGAGAGGAGCCGCCGCCGGGGAACGAGAGGAGCCACCGCCUCCAGGUCACUGCUGCCCUCGCACUCGCAUCCAUACCUUCGCCGUCGCCCUCGCGCUCGCGGAUCCCUGAAAUGCCGCCGAUCCGAGACGAGCCGCCGCCGCCGAGGAACGAGACGAGCCGCCGCCUUCAUUGCGGACCUGGGCUAGGGUUCCAUACGCCGCCGCCGUCCCAACCACGAACGCCGACGCCGGUUGUAGCCGUCACGCCGCCAGCCAUCCAUGCCUGGCAGCCGUCACAGCUGGUGCUUCCCUACUGAACGAGCGCCAAGGAGAAACACCGAUGUCUUUCUACAUGGUGGCCGCUCCCCUCGAUCCCCUCCAUCGCCUCCGCCGCCGCCGAGGUACGAGAUCGCCUCCAUCUUGUUCCUUCCCUGGCCAUGCCCCUCCCAAUUUCUUCCCCUCAUCCAGCUAGGGUUCUCACCCGCCGCCGCUUCCCUGCUGCUACCCGCCACCGGAUGCCCUCCACGGACACCACCACCAUGAUGGCAGAAGGAAGAGCAAGAGGGGUCGUCGAGGAUGGGUGCCGUCAUGAGGAUGCUGGCGCCCGUGUGCGGUGAUGGCAUUGUGGCGGAAGAAGGUCUUCUUCCUGGGGAGCCGCUACCAGCCUCCGUCUCCACCCGCGGCCACGCUAACAAGACAGGUUCAGGUUCGAUAUGUCAGGGCUGAAGUACGCUCCUGAGUUAAAGAAAGACCUCGAGAGACUCUGUAGAGUAAUUGUGAUGUAUCCUUCACUUACCGUGCCACGGGGUUGUCGCGGAUAUUGGUGGAGGACUUGGUGGACUAGCGCAAAAUGGAAAUCUAGAAAGAAGUGAAACUAAUCAGCUAUGGUUUUCCUGGAGUAUUUGUGCAACCAGCAGGUCGCCCAUGAGAAAUAUGAUGUUCUUUAUGCAUUUAAAAAACUACUAAAGGGAAAGUUGUGAAUGUUGUAUUGCAGAGCGUAUGCGUCAGAGGCCAGUCGGCAGAGGUGCAUGCAGGUUUGUGCUUGAGGGUGCACGCGAGUCGGCGGCUACAGGCAGAGGGGAGGGUCGUCGAAGAGAAGGACGGCGGCCCGGCCUACACAUGAUGGAACACACAUUGCCGACGAUGCGGUACCAGGCCUGGAGAAGAGAUCCCGAGGUGUUUGAUGAAAUGCCCUCCGUCCGAAAAUACUUGUCAUAAAAAUGAAUAAAAGGAGAUCACAAUGUUGGACACGACCACCUAAGAAUUGAAUAUUUUUAGUUGGAAUACUAUUUUAAUGAUCAAUCACAAUGUUGGACGCGACCACCUACUUAUUCCCGAGACUUUAAGUCUUUGGUGGCUUAAGCACAAUAUGCCCGGCAUAUGUUCUACAUCUGCGGCAUGUAAUGACCCUACUGGCAUUUCAAGAGGUCUGUAAAUACAACAUUCUUCCAAAGUAUUUCCAAGUAAGUGUUCACCUCGUGAGAUUUAUUAAAUGUUUUAGAUAUCUCGCUUGUGAAUGCUCAUCGGUAGCUAAUAUCCUGAGUAUUUUGAUAACGGGUUUAGAUCUGGACAGUUAUUGAGCCUGCAUUGAUGAAAUAGUUGACAAAGCAGGAACUGAAAUGAGGUUACUGAGGCUGCAUUUAAGAAUCUUGGUUGAUGAGGUGAUAUCUGACCAAAAACUCAAGAACUAGAAGCAAGCCUGACAUCCUUUUUCUGUAAUCAGUAUAUUUUAGGUAGCAAGCCUGUCAUCCUUUUCUAUCCACAUGAGGCUUAGGGGCCGUUUGGAUUAGCACCAACGCCGACCCUAUCAAUUUUUUGGCACGCCCCUACGAUUUGGACCCUGUUUGGACCAUCGCCAAAAUAUUGGCUCGCCCCGAAGGCUCAGUGUUACUUCUGCCAACUCGUGGGCGCAUCGCCGAAAUCGGUCGCCAAAAAAUUGGCGAGCACGUCCCUUGCCGGCUGAUACGAGGUUCUCGUGUUAGUUUUUUUUAAUCUCGUAUAGUUUGAACAAUCGUGGUGUCUACUAUGCUUUUCAGAAAGGUGAGUGCAUUUGUGAAGCUUCCUGCAGAGUUUCACAUGAUGAGUAGGUAAAUGUGCUGCUUGUGCGUUUACCAAGUAGUUAUAUAGGAGAGCACACAAGCAACAGACUACAUAGCUUGUGCUAAUUUCCAUGAUAAGUUUUAUCGCAUAUGAAGAAGUUAUAUUGCCAGUUAAGUUAUUAAUAGAAAUUGAGUUGCUUAUCAUUGAGUAAAAGACGUUCCUUUAGAGUAUUUAUAGUUUUAUACUAAUACUUUAUCAAGGUGAUAUGCUGAAGAUUUGUGAUUAUUACAGUAUGGCCUUUACAUUGCUUUGUUCAUGUCUAUACAUGUACUUAACUUGGAUGAGCCAUUAUCUACAAAAUAUAUUUCAUGAACUCCAUAGCAGAUAUCUCGAUUCAAAGUAAUAUAGCCAGAGAUGUUAACAUUUGUUUUUGGAAACACAAGCACUAAUUUUUUUAUUGCAUUUGAACUAGAUAUGGUUGUAUCUUAGAGAUUGUUGCUUUGGACAGGAUUUACUAUAUUUUUGCAGUAGGCUACCUGCUUCUCUGAAUGACCAUUUAAGGAGUGAACAUGAACUGCUGAUGUAUAUGUUCCAUGCUCCAUGGGGAGGGAACAAGGAUUGAUUUUCGCCGGGAGUAGGAAGAGUAUGGUGACUUACUUCUAUGCUUUAAGGGGCUUCCAGAACUACUUGAUUGUGAAACAAGUCACUAGGUACUGCUCAGAUGAAUUAUAUGGAUGGUACCACCAUUCGUCCAAGCUGUAGAAACUCCUAUCCCUGAAUUUCUAUUUAUUGGAACCAUUAGAUUUAUUAGUAUUUUAGUCAUUACGUUUCUACAGAGGCUAUGUGAAGCAAAGAAACUCCUAUCCCUUUUAAAUUUUAAUACAUGUAAAGUACUACAUGUCAGUAAGGAGCUGACACUCUUGGACGGUGAGAAAUUAUUGACGUUUGGUAAUGAGAAAUUAUUGACGUUCGGUAUAGAAAUAUAAUUACAUGAAAAACAAAGUUUAAUUAUUGAUGUCAUUUUUUUUUGGCCAUACCUGCAUAUUUACAACCCUCUUAUCUUUAUUACUACACUGUUCUUUGCUAUACAUGAUAGUUCAGCUAUGA